RNAcentral lists this long non-coding RNA (403 nucleotides) under Gallus gallus (chicken). Its description in RNAcentral is "lncRNA (ENSGALG00010010608.1)". The record is from RNAcentral. Lineage: Eukaryota; Metazoa; Chordata; Aves; Galliformes; Phasianidae.
CUGCUGUAAGGUCCUCAUGAUUCAAGACAGAAAAGGGCUGGAAGCCCAGCACUUUCUGAUGUUUAAAAGCAUUUUAAUCAGAGCAGCUGUACUGAAUGGGUAAAUGGCAGCAGGGAGCCCUUCACAGCUGCUGGAGAUUUUGGGCCUGCCCUUUACAUGGGCAAAAUGUGUCUUCUGUGCUUCUUGCUUGUGUGCUGCAAACCCUGUACAACACCAGGAUUUCCAUGGAGAUGGAGGCAUUGCAUAUUGUCGAGUGCCACACCUCCAGGUUUCCUGAACACCUCCAGGGACAGUGACUCCUCCACCACCACCCUGGGCAGAAAGUUCCAAUGCCUCACCACUCUUACUGAGAAGAAAGCAUUGCUAAUACACAACCUGAACUUCCCCUGGAGCAACUUAAAAG